CACGUAGGGCGCGAGCGUUGUCCGGAAUUAUUGGGCGUAAAGAGCUCGUAGGCGGCCUGUUGCGUCCGCUGUGAAAGCCCCGGGGCUUAACCCCGGGUCGGCAGUGGAUACGGGCAGGCUAGAGGUAGGUAGGGGAGAAUGGAAUUCCCGGUGUAGCGGUGAAAUGCGCAGAUAUCGGGAGGAACACCGAUGGCGAAGGCAGGUCUCUGGGCCACUACUGACGCUGGAGAAGCGAAAGCAUGGGGAGCGAACAGG
This 255-nucleotide ribosomal RNA is filed under the name uncultured bacterium. Its description in RNAcentral is "partial 16S ribosomal RNA". It matches the Rfam family "Bacterial small subunit ribosomal RNA", at positions 524 to 776 of the family's 1533-position model. The record is from RNAcentral.